Bombus terrestris (buff-tailed bumblebee) is the source of this 482-nucleotide long non-coding RNA. RefSeq lists it as uncharacterized. The record is from RefSeq and is a predicted model, not a curated record. The transcript is spliced from 2 exons. NCBI's taxonomy places the organism in Eukaryota, Metazoa, Arthropoda, Insecta, Hymenoptera, Apidae.
GAUCGACCACCACUUUUCGUUUUUCGGCUGAAACAUCACAUGCUGGCCAUUCGUCAGCGGCUGAACGAAGAACGAUCUCUGCCCGAUCAACAUCAAGGCGUACACUUCUUCUUUGCAUAUCGUCACGACGACGAAGGAACUCGCGUCUCCUUCCAAGCUGCCUUGUCGAAGAUCGCAGUUCGCCUUGGCGUUACGUCGCUCGGACUUGGUUUUACCCUGGCGCACCCAAUUCACGGUGAAAUUCGACGACAGUAUCAAUCGAUCGUUGGCCAUGGUCCUUAAGGUCCAGUUGCUGAUCUCGAGGAACACCGGCUCUUGGUGGAGAUACUCGCGCCAAGUUUCUCGGUCUUCGUGGGUCGAUCUUCUGUUCCGCGCGCUCUCAUUCGGGAUCACUCGAGGGUAAACGAUCUCGUACUCCUGCAAGCUUUGCAGAAAGUCGCUCAUUCGCGACUUAGUAGCGAUCGUGCCGAGCAGCCACGUGG